This 490-nucleotide ribosomal RNA is filed under the name uncultured bacterium. RNAcentral's name for it is "partial 16S ribosomal RNA". It matches the Rfam family "Bacterial small subunit ribosomal RNA", at positions 29 to 507 of the family's 1533-position model. The record is from RNAcentral.
AUGAACGCUGGCUACAGGCUUAACACAUGCAAGUCGAGGGGAAACGACGGGGAAGCUUGCUUCCCCGGGCGUCGACCGGCGCACGGGUGAGUAACGCGUAUCCAACCUGCCUCUGACUGAGGGAUAACCCGUCGAAAGUCGGCCUAAUACCUCAUGGUAUCGUCUGCGGGCAUCCAACGACGAUUAAAGAUUUCAUCGGUCAGGGAUGGGGAUGCGUCUGAUUAGCUUGUUGGCGGGGUAACGGCCCACCAAGGCUACGAUCAGUAGGGGUUCUGAGAGGAAGGUCCCCCACAUUGGAACUGGGACACGGUCCAAACUCCUACGGGAGGCAGCAGUGAGGAAUAUUGGUCAAGGGGCGAGAGCCUGAACCAGCCAAGUAGCGUGCAGGAAGACGGCCCUAUGGGUUGUAAACUGCUUUUAGGCGGGGAUAAAGUGAGGGACGUGUCCCUCAUUGCAGGUACCGCAUGAAUAAGGACCGGCUAAGUCCGUG